CCUACGGGUGGCAGCAGUGGGGAAUAUUGGACAAUGGGGGGAACCCUGAUCCAGCCAUGCCGCGUGUGUGAAGAAGGCCCUCGGGUUGUAAAGCACUUUCAGUGAGGAAGAACGCCUGGUGGUUAAUACCCAUCAGGAAAGACAUCACUCACAGAAGAAGCACCGGCUAACUCCGUGCCAGCAGCCGCGGUAAUACGGAGGGUGCGAGCGUUAAUCGGAAUUACUGGGCGUAAAGCGCGCGUAGGUGGCUUGAUAAGCCGGUUGUGAAAGCCCCGGGCUCAACCUGGGAACGGCAUCCGGAACUGUCAAGCUAGAGUGCAGGAGAGGAAGGUAGAAUCCCCGGUGUAGCGGUGAAAUGCGUAGAGAUCGGGAGGAAUACCAGUGGCGAAGGCGGCCUUCUGGACUGACACUGACACUGAGGUGCGAAAGCGUGGGUAGCAAACAGGAUUAGAUACCCUAGUAGUC
Molecule: ribosomal RNA, 465 nt
Filed under: Vreelandella stevensii
Lineage: Bacteria; Pseudomonadati; Pseudomonadota; Gammaproteobacteria; Oceanospirillales; Halomonadaceae
Description: partial 16S ribosomal RNA
Rfam family: Bacterial small subunit ribosomal RNA
Source: RNAcentral